UAGACCAACAUGGGAAGGUGGUCAGUACAAUGGCGAUGAAAAAAUGCGACAGGAUGCACUUCGAUUGGCCAUGGAAUACGGGGCUGAUUACAUUGAUGUUGAGCUCCAGGUUGCUCAUGAAUUCAUUCAAUCCAUAGCUGGAAAGAAGCCUGAAAAUUUUAAGAUUGUUGUUUCUUCUCAUAAUUAUCAAAAUACCCCAUCUAUGGAGGAUCUUGGUAAUCUUGUUGCAAAAAUACAAGCAACUGGAGCUGACAUAGUGAAGUUUGGAACAUCUGCCUUAGAUAUAACUGAUGCGGCACGUGUUUUCCAGAUAACUGUGCAUUCUCAGGUUCCAAUAAUAGCACUGGUUAUGAGCUUCUACAUUUAUACAAUUUCAGACAGAUAGGGCCCGACACAAAAGUGUUUGGUGUUAUUGGAAAGCCAGUUGGCCAAAGCAAAUCACCAAUUUUGUAUAAUGAGGCCUUCAAGUUAGUUGGUUUUAAUGGAGUUUAUCUGCAUUUGUUGGUAGAUGACAUUGCAAAUUUUCUCCAAACUUACUUGUCUGCAGAUUUUGCGGGAUUCAGUGUCACCAUUCCUCACAAGGAAGCUGCACUCACGUGCUGUGAUGAGGUUGAUCCAGUUGCCAAGUCAAUAGGAGCUGUUAAUUGCAUUAUAAGGAGACAAAGUGAUGGGAAGUUAUUGGGAUUCAAUCCUUCUCCUCGACCGGGCGAAAAGGGAUGAUGAUCGGUGCCGAUCCAAGUAUGGAAAAUACUGGAAAUCGUACUGCGAGAAGGUUCGGUACAGGGUCAUCCCCGGAAUUUACUGAGAAAAUGUUGCACAAGUGUUUGUUCUAUGUUGAGAAUGGCAUGUAUAUUCAGCCUUUCCAAAUUAAAUGAUGGCAGGCUGGUAUCAUGUUGUUGUUAUUGUUGUUUUUGUAAUGGUCAACUUUAUGGAUGUUGUAUUUCUCUCAUCUUCAAUGACCAAAAACUUUUCUUGUUUAGGAAAA
This is a long non-coding RNA of Humulus lupulus (European hop), 985 nucleotides long. RefSeq lists it as uncharacterized. The transcript has 6 exons. The record is from RefSeq and is a predicted model, not a curated record. NCBI's taxonomy places the organism in Eukaryota, Viridiplantae, Streptophyta, Magnoliopsida, Rosales, Cannabaceae.